AAGUAGGAUUUUAAGAGCAAACCACAGAACAGAAAAAUAUUUGUAACAGCAACUGAGAGCUCGCUAUACAGAAACACUAGCAGCUCACGCCAUCGCUACCAGAGGGCAGUCGCUCGCUGGGAAGCGGCAAGAGCUUACAGAGGAGUAAUUAAAGGGCAUCGUCACAAGGAAGCAUGGCGAAUCCCAUUUGAAAGCUGAAGAAUUACACAUUCUACCUUGAAGGGACAAUCAGACAGCAGCAGAUACACAGAAAAGCCAGUGGUGGUGGAGGAACCGGCAGAGUCUUUGCGGACAGCUCUGUCAUUGGUCCAGUCUUUCCAGAGAGGAUGGGGACAUGACGAGGUGGCUGCUCAUUCUUCUUGGGCGUCGAGGACAACAUCACCGAGGGGAACACUUCCCAAGGAAGUAACCACGGGGAGAAGAGAAAGGUCACCUUUACGAAAAUGCUUGUGGCUACAGACAGCAACAGCUGGGCCCAGAGCUGGUCCAUGGCGAGUACCUGCGAAGAAGCAGCUCACGGACUACGGAAGACUCA
Callorhinus ursinus (northern fur seal) is the source of this 535-nucleotide non-coding RNA. The record is from RefSeq and is a predicted model, not a curated record. Lineage: Eukaryota; Metazoa; Chordata; Mammalia; Carnivora; Otariidae.